AAUAAAAAAUAUUUGAUAUCAAUAUUAUUUAUUUCAUGAUGUAAUAAUAGUAGUUAAAUCUACAAUAUUUAAAUUAAAAAUAUUUUUAAUUAUUUUAUAACCUCAAUUUGAAAAGCAUUUUUUUAACCAAACACAUUAAACUACUUUUUCUUCAACCUCAAUUUCAACCACAGUUUUAACCAAACACCUAUUUUUUCAAACCAACCUCAACUAAAAGUACUUUUUAUAAAACAACUUUUUUCAAACCACAACCACAACAGCAACCGCAAUACCAAACAGGCUCUUAAU
This 288-nucleotide long non-coding RNA is filed under the name Populus trichocarpa (black cottonwood). RNAcentral's name for it is "long non-coding RNA (PTRI_LNC001309)". Lineage: Eukaryota; Viridiplantae; Streptophyta; Magnoliopsida; Malpighiales; Salicaceae. The record is from RNAcentral.